RNAcentral lists this ribosomal RNA (253 nucleotides) under uncultured bacterium. RNAcentral's name for it is "partial 16S ribosomal RNA". It matches the Rfam family "Bacterial small subunit ribosomal RNA", at positions 524 to 776 of the family's 1533-position model. The record is from RNAcentral.
UACGGAGGGUGCGAGCGUUGUCCGGAAUCAUUGGGCGUAAAAGGCGCGUAGGUGGCGGGACAAGCGUGCGGUGAAAGCUUGGGGCUCAACCCCGAGUCGGCCGUGCGAACUGUCUUGCUUGAGCACUGUAGAGGCAGGCGGAAUUCCGGGUGUAGCGGUGGAAUGCGUAGAGAUCCGGAAGAACACCGGUGGCGAAGGCGGCUCACUGGCUCGUAUCUGACGCUCAGGCGCGACAGCGUGGGGAUCAAACAGG